RNAcentral lists this ribosomal RNA (465 nucleotides) under uncultured bacterium. Its description in RNAcentral is "partial 16S ribosomal RNA". It matches the Rfam family "Bacterial small subunit ribosomal RNA", at positions 338 to 795 of the family's 1533-position model. The record is from RNAcentral.
CCUACGGGAGGCAGCAGUAGGGAAUCUUCCACAAUGGGCGAAAGCCUGAUGGAGCAACGCCGCGUGGGUGAAGAAUGUCUUCGGAUCGUAAAACCCUGUUGUUAGAGAAGAAAGUGCGUGAGAGUAACUGUUCACGUUUCGACGGUAUCUAACCAGAAAGCCACGGCUAACUACGUGCCCGCAGCCGCGGUAAUACGUAGGUGGCAAGCGUUAUCCGGAUUUAUUGGGCGUAAAGGGAACGCAGGCGGUCUUUUAGGUCUGAUGUGAAAGCCUUCGGCUUAACCGGAGUAGUGCAUUGGAAACUGGCAGACUUGAGUGCAGAGGAGGAGAGUGGAAGUCCAUGUGUAGCGGUGAAAUGCGUAGAUAUAUGGAAGAACACCAGUGGCGAAGGCGGCUCUCUGGUCUGUAACUGACGCUGAGGUUCGAAAGCGUGGGUAGCAAACAGGAUUAGAUACCCUGGUAGUC